Long non-coding RNA from Falco peregrinus (peregrine falcon), 639 nucleotides. RefSeq lists it as uncharacterized. The transcript is spliced from 3 exons. The record is from RefSeq and is a predicted model, not a curated record. NCBI's taxonomy places the organism in Eukaryota, Metazoa, Chordata, Aves, Falconiformes, Falconidae.
CUGUAAGCUUCCUUUUGUAUCAAAAAUCUUGUUUCAUAAUCCACCUCCCCUGCUCUUUGGAACCUGAGUUUCUCCGUUUGUUUGUUCAGCCAGUUGAGGUCUGCUGGGAUAUUUCUCUGUUUGAUUUGCUUGUUAGCUUUGUCGUUGGCUGAAAUGGCCUGGGGCUGGUUUGUUCAAGGCUUUUUUUUUUUUCUUUUUUUUUUUUUAUGGAAGAGUUGGUGGAGGGUUUUUUCCUCAUAAGUUGGAUGGCAUCACUGCGUGUGAAGUUUGCCUCAGUGCCCACUGCUCAUCCACCCAGAAUGAGAAGAGGCAGCCUGUAGACACAGCUGAAUCCUCAGACACUGUCAGAGACAAGUACAAGACUAGAAGACAGCUGUGGCUGCCCUGGCAGGAGUGCCAGAUGGUGGAGGAAACACAUACAUAAAUAGUCAUAUUGACCUCAACCCAAACCCAUGGAAGGCUACUGUUGUGUCAGACAUUGUUCAAGAAGAUUUGUACCCAAUACGCCUCACCUUGAUUUUUAAGGCUCAGAGCUUUAUUUGAAGAUUGGGUGUACCCUGUUUGUUGUUAAUCAUUAAACUCAAGGAUUCAGAACAUUUUUAUAUAAAUAUCCAAUAUUAAAAGUCCUUGAACAAUUGA